GAUGAACGCUAGCGGCAGGCUUAACACAUGCAAGUCGAGGGGUAUGCCGAUUUAUCGGCAGAGACCGGCGCACGGGUGCGUAACGCGUAUGCAAUCUACCUUUUACAGAGGGAUAGCCCAGAGAAAUUUGGAUUAAUACCUCAUAGUAUAACACAAUCGCAUGGUUGAGUUAUUAAAGUCACAACGGUAAAGAUGAGCAUGCGUCCCAUUAGCUAGUUGGUAAGGUAACGGCUUACCAAGGCGACGAUGGGUAGGGGUCCUGAGAGGGAGAUCCCCCACACUGGUACUGAGACACGGACCAGACUCCUACGGGAGGCAGCAGUGAGGAAUAUUGGACAAUGGGCGCAAGCCUGAUCCAGCCAUGCCGCGUGCAGGAUGACGGUCC
Molecule: ribosomal RNA, 385 nt
Filed under: uncultured bacterium
Lineage: Bacteria
Description: bacterial SSU rRNA
Rfam family: Bacterial small subunit ribosomal RNA
Source: RNAcentral